RNAcentral lists this long non-coding RNA (6120 nucleotides) under Salmo salar (Atlantic salmon). RNAcentral's name for it is "lncRNA (ENSSSAG00000103609.1)". The record is from RNAcentral. Lineage: Eukaryota; Metazoa; Chordata; Actinopteri; Salmoniformes; Salmonidae.
GCCUUAUCCUCCUCCUCCCUCCCACUCCUUCUCCUCCUCUCUCCCACUCCUUCUCCUCCUCCUUCUCCUCCUCACUCCCACUCCUCCCCCUUAUCAUUCUCCUCAUCCUUCUCCUCCUCCUCCUCCUCCUCCUCCUCAGUUCCAUUAGCCCAUCUCUAUGACGUUCCGAGCUAGCGCUUCCUGGCGGAAUGUUAGUUUCUCCUAAAUAAAGGUGGGGAGCGGCAGCAAUCUAUCUCUGAGAGGCUUAUGGUAGCAAUGGCUGGACGGGCUAUGAGGUUGAACAAACCUCUGAAAGGAACUAACAGAUGAGAUAUUAAAGGAGGGAGUAUUGGAAGAAAGGAGGAGUAGAAGAGAGGAGGGGAGAACGAGAGUGAGUUUAGCUUUUCCCUUGACUGUGAGUGUAAAUGCUGUCAGUCUUCAUAACUAUUCUCAUAUAUCUACUAGAGGCGUCUGUAUGCCUGGGUCCUCUGCAUAACAAGUAGAAUCAGUACUGUAUCUCCCCAGCCUAAUGCUAGGCUAUCACUACAUAUAUCUCACUCUCUGUUUUACAUUUGUCUAUUGUCCACACGUGCGUGCGUGCGUGCGUGUGUGUGUGUGUGUGUCAUACCAGUAUGUCUCCGGUUCAGUGUGUUAGGGUGUAAGGGUAUUAGUGAGCAUGUAUCAUGUGUAGUCAUGCGUAGUUUACCUGUGAGAGGGACCCUGUUUCCAUGUACACUGAGAAAAAAAAAUAAAGGUUCUUAUAUGGUUCUUCUUCAGCCCUUAAGGUUCCUUGGAGAGCUCUUGCCCGAUAAAGAACCUUUGAGUUAAGUGUGGGGUUCUUGACGUUCUUCAGAAUUCUAAAAGGUUCUUGAAAUGUAUGGAAGCCUGCAGAUGUGUCCCUUUCAUAGAUGUGUCCCUUGCAGAGACCUCCAAGAUGGCGUAGCAGUUAGACGUCUUUGUCUUUGUCCUGUCGUGUCCCUUGUAUAUAUCUUUUUACAUCUUUUUCUUUGCAUAUCUUUUUAAAAUAUUUUCCUAAACCUCCACUUCUAAAUACUCUCCUGCAACCCGCCUCACCCAAUGUGGCGUGGAUCAGUUUUUUUUCUAAAGUAUUUGUAUUUACUUCGGAUCUGGAAUCCCUCAACUGAAGCUAGCCAGCUAACUACCUACCAGCUAUCAGUCAGCAAACCAUUGCUAGCGGUCAUCAGCUAACCUUUAGCUCGGAAAGCUCUCGCCAGUUCGAACAACGUGACUCAAACCAGAGCAUAACGGACCUAUUACCAUUUGUAUUUUUUCCCCCAUAUCCCCGGAUUCCUACCGCAAACUCUGAAUAUUUUAAUCUGGAUCUUUGCAACUAGCUAACCGCAAUCCCGGGUGACUACUCAUGGCUAGCGUUUCCAUCCCGGAGCAAGCACCAAUUAGCCUGAAGAUAGCCCGGCCAGGGCUCCUGUGCUACCACCGAAGCCCACUCCUGGGCUACAAUAUCCGGACCCCUUCUACUGCCGGUAUGGGGCAUGGAACACCGCCAAUCCUCUACGACUGAAAUACCGACAUAAUCUGCCCGAGGAUUCCAACAGGCCCCUCAGGCGCGACGUCCACUGAAGGCCCAUUCUGCUAACCACAGCCUACUAGCUACCUAGAGCUACUUGGAACCCUACUAAUUCCACGACUGCUCCAUCGACGUCACCGCACGAAGAGGCAAAAACAGACUUACCCCCAUCGCGACAUCCCCCAAAUUCUAACUUGCUAGCCCCGGUCUCUUAACUGCUAGCUUGCGUGCCCCGGUCUCCUAACUGCUAGCUUGCCUGCCCCGGUCUGCUAACUGCUAGCCCCGGUCUGCCAACUGCUUGCUUGCUAACCCGGUCUGCUAACUGCUAGCUUGCCAGCCCCGGUCUGCUAACUGCUAGCUUGUUUAGCCCCGGCCUACUAACUGUUAGCUUGUUAGCAUCAGCCUGCUAACUGUCUGAAUCGCCGUGUCCCCAGUCAGCCCAACCACUCACUGGAUCCAUAUGUUCACUUGGCUACGCAUGCCUCUCUCUAAUAUCAAUAUGCCUCGUCCAUUACUGUCCUAGUUAGUGAUUACUGUCUUAUUUCACUGUAGAGCCUCUAGCCCUGCUCAAUAUGCCUUAACUAACCAUGUUAUUCCACCUCCUACAUAUGCGAUGACAUCACCUGGUUUAAACGUCUCUAGAGACUAUAUCUCUCUCAUCAUUACGCAAUGCCAAGGUUUACCUCCAAUGUUCUCGCAUCCUACCUUACCUUUGUCUGGACAAUAUGCCUUGAAUCUAUGCUAUCGUGCCCAGAAACCUGCUCCUUUUACUCUCUGUUCCGAACGUGCUAGACGGCCAGUUCAUAUAGCCUUUAGCCGUACCCUUAUCCUACUUCUCCUCUGUUCCUCUGGUGAUGUGGAGGUUAAUCCAGAUCCUGCAGUGCCUAGCUCCACUCCCACUCCCCAGGUGCUCUCAUUUGUUGACUUCUGUAACCGUAAAAGCCUUGGUUUCAUGCAUGUUAACAUUAGAAGCCUACUCCCUAAGUUUGUUUUGCUCACUGGUUUAGCACACUCUGCCAACCCGGAUGUCUUAGCUGUGUCUGAAUCCUGGCUUAGGAAAACCACCAAAACCCCUGCAAUCUCCAUCCCUAACUAUAACAUUUUCCGCCAAGAUAGAACUGCCAAAGGGGGCGGUGUUGCAAUUUACUGCAGAGAUAGCCUGCAGAGUUCUGUAUUACUAUCUAAGUCUGUACCCAAACAAUUCAAGCUUCUACUUCUAAAAAUUCACCUUUCCAGAAACAAGUCUCUCACUGUUGCCACUUGCUAUAGACCUCCCUCUGCCCCUAGCUGUGCCCUCAAUACCACAUGUGAAUUGAUUGCCCCCCAUCUAUCUUCUGAGCUCGUGCUACUAGGUGACCUAAACUGGGACAUGCUUAACACCCCGGCCAUCCUACAAUCUAAGCUUGAUGCCCUCAAUCUCACACAAAUUAUCAAUGAACCUACCAGGUACAACCCCAAAUCCAUAAACACGGGCACCUUCAUAGAUGUCAUCCUAACUAACUCGCCCUCCAAAUACACCUCUGCUGUUUUCAAUCAAGAUCUCAGCGAUCACUGCCUCAUUGCCUGCAUCCGUAAUGGGUCUGCGACCAAACGACCACCCCUCAUCACUGUCAAACGCUCCCUAAAACACUUCUGCGAGCAGGCCUUUCUAAUCGACCUGGCCGGGGUAUCCUGGAAUGACAUUGACCUCAUCCCGUCAGUAGAUGAUGCCAGGCUAUUAUUUAAAAGUGCCUUGCUCACCAUCUUAAAUGAGCAUGCCCCACUCCAAAAAAAAUGAACUAGGAAUAGAUAUAGUCCUUGGUUCACUCCAGACCUGUCUGCCCUUGACCAGCACAAAAACAUCCUGUGGCGUUCUACAUUAGCAUCGAAUAGCCCCCGUGAUAUGCAACUUUUCAGGAAAGUUAGGAACAAAUAUACACAGGAAGUUAGAAAAGCUAAGGCUAGCUUUUACAAACAGAAAUGUGCAUCCUGAGGUACUAACUCAAAAAAGUUCUGGGACACUGUAAAGUCCAUGGAGAAUAAGAGCACCUCCUCCCAGCUGCCCACUGCUCUGAGGCUAGGAAACACUGUUACCACCGAUAAAUCCACUAUAAUUGAGAAUUUCAAUAAGCAUUUCUCUACGGCUGGCCAUGCUUUCCACCUGGCUACCCCUACUCCGGUCAACUGCCCUGCACCCUCCACAGCAACCCGCAAAUGCCCCCACCAUUUCUCCUUCACUCAAAUCCAGACAACUGAUGCUCUGAAAGAGCUGCAAAAUCUGGACCCCUACAAAUCAGCCCGGGCUAGACAAUCUGGACCCUCUCUUUCUAAAAUGAUGUGCCAAAAUUGUUGCAACCCCUAUUACUAGCCUGUUCAACCUCUCUUUCGUAUCGUAUGAGAUUCCCAAAGAUUGGAAAGCUGCCGCGGUCAUCCUCCUCUUCAAAGGGGGUGACACUCUAGACCCAAACUGCUACAGACCUAUAUCUAUCCUACACUGUCUUUCUAAGGUCUUCGAAAGCCAAGUUAACAAACAGAUUACCAACCAUUUCGAAUCCCACCUUACCUUCUCCGCUAUGCAAUCUGGUUUCAGAGCUGGUCAUGGGUGCACCUCAGCCACGCUCAAGGUCCUAAACAACAUCAUAACCACCAUCGAUGAGAGACAUUACUGUGCAGCCGUAUUCAUCGACCUGGCCAAGGCUUUCGACUCUGUCAAUCACCACAUUCUUAUCGGCAGACUUGACAGCCUUGGUUUCUCAAAUGAUCGCUUCGCCUGGUUUACCAACUACUUCUCUGAUAGAGUUCAGUGUGUCAAAUCGGAGGGCCUGUUGUCCGGACCUCUGGCAGUCUCUAUGGGGGUGCCACAGGGUUCAAUUCUCGGGCCGACUCUCUUCUCUGUAUGCAUCAAUGAUGUUGCUCUUGCUGCUGGUGAUUCUCUGAUCCACCUCUACACAGACGACACCAUUCUGUAUACUUCUGGCCCCUCCAGAUGAGCUUCAAUGCCAUACAACUCUCCUUCCGUGGCCUCCAACUGCUCUUAAACGCAAGUAAAACUAAAUGCAUGCUAUUCAGUCGAUCACUGCCCGCACCUGCUCGCUCGUCCAGCAUCACUACUCUGGACGGCUCUGACUUAGAAUGGACAACUACAAAUACCUGGGUGUCUGGUUAGACUGUAAACUCUCCUUCCAGACUUACAUUAAGCAUCUCCAAUCCAAAAUUAAAUCUAGAAUUGGCUUCCUAUAUCGCAACAAAGCAUCCUUCACUCAGCUGCCAAACAUAUCCUCGCAAAACUGACCAUCCUACCGAUCUUCGACUUCGGUGAUGUCAUCCAUAAAAUAGCCUCCAACACUCUAAUCACAGUGCCAUCCGUUUUGUCACCAAAGCCCCAUACACUACCUACCAUUGCAAACUGUACGCUCUCGUUGGUUGGCCCUCGCUUCAUACUCGUCACCAAACCCACUGGCUAUAGGUCAUCUACAAGUCUCUGCUAGGUAAAGCCCCGCCUUAUCUCAGCUCACUGGUCACCAUAGCAGCAUCCACUCGUAGCACGAGCUCCAGCAGGUAUAUCUCACUGGUCACCCCCAAAGCCAAUUCCUCCUUUGGUCAUCUUUCCUUCCAGUUCUCUGCUGCCAAUGACUGGAACGAACUGCAAAAAUCUCUGAAGCUGGAGACUCAUAUCUCCCUCACUAGCUUUAAGCACCAGCUGUCAGAGCAGCUCACAGAUCACUGCACCUGUACAUAGCCCAUCUGUAAACAGCCCAUCUAUGUACCUACCUCAUCCCCAUACUGUAUUUAUUUAUUUAUCUUGCUGCUUUGCACCCCAGUAUCUAUACUUGCACAUUCAUCUUCUGCACAUCUACCAUUCCCGUGUUUAAUUGCUAUAUUGUAAUUACUUUGCCACCAUGGCCUAUUUAUUGCCUUAACUUACCUCAUUUGCACUCAGUGUAUGUAGACUUUUUGUUUUCUUUUGUUCUACUGUAUUAUUGACUGUAUGUUUUGUUUAUUCCAUGUGUAACUCUGUGUUGUUGUAUGUGUCGAAUUGCUAUGCUUUAACUUGGCCAGGUCGCAGUUGCAAAUGAGAACUUGUUCUCAACUAGCCUACCUGGUUAAAUAAAUGUAGGCUAUAAAAAUAGUAUAAAAAUAAAAUAAAAUAGCACACAGCAAAUUGGCCAGUGUUAACUAGUGUUUAUUUUUCAGUGUAACAUUGAUAACGUUGAUUCAAGAGGUAAAUUAAUAGUCAGUGGUGUAAAGCAAUGGUGUCAAACUCAUUACAUGGAGGGCCUAGUGUCUGUCGGUUAACGUUUUUUUUCCUUUCAAUUAAGACCGAGACAACCAGGUGUGGGGAGUUCCUUAUUAAUUAGUGACCUUAGUUCAUCAAUCAAGUCCAAGGGAGGAGCGAAAACCCGCAGACACUCGGCACUCCGUGGAAUUAGUUUGACGCCUGUGGUGUAAAGGAACCCCAGUAGUGGUGUUAAUAACCAGAGUUGAACCAGGCCACUGCAUUAGAGUUAAACUAGGCCCUAAACAGAAAACCUUUUUAAAUAUGUAUUCAAUUGUCUUACAGUUGAAGUCGUAAGUUUACAUACACCUAGGUUGGAGUCAUUAAAACUCGUUUUUCA